GCCAGGUGCAGUGGUGCAUGCCUGUAAUUCCAGCAACUCGGGAGGCUGAGGCAGGAGGAUCUUGAGUUCAAAGCCAGCCUUAGCAACUUAGGCCCUAAGCAACUUAGUGAGACCCUGUCUCUA
This 123-nucleotide small RNA is filed under the name Marmota monax (woodchuck). The record is from RNAcentral. Lineage: Eukaryota; Metazoa; Chordata; Mammalia; Rodentia; Sciuridae.